CCUACGGGAGGCAGCAGUGAGGAAUAUUGGUCAAUGGGCGAGAGUCUGAACCAGCCAAGUAGCGUGCGGGAAGACGGUCCUAUGGAUUGUAAACCGCUUUUAUGAGGGAGCAAGGAGCGCCACGAGUGGCUCGGCGCGGGUACCGGAUGAAAAAGCAUCGGCUAACUCCGUGCCAGCAGCCGCGGUAAUACGGAGGAUGCGAGCGUUAUCCGGAUUUAUUGGGUUUAAAGGGUGCGCAGGCGGAAGCGGCAAGGCAGCGGUAAAAUUGCGGGGCUAAACCUGGCCGAGCCGGUGAAACUGCUCUUCUAGAGUGGGCGAGAAGUAUGCGGAAUGCGUGGUGUAGCGGUGAAAUGCAUAGAUAUCACGCAGAACUCCGAUUGCGAAGGCAGCAUACCGGCGCCCAACUGACGCUCAUGCACGAAAGCGUGGGUAUCGAACAGGAUUAGAUACCCGUGUAAUC
RNAcentral lists this ribosomal RNA (460 nucleotides) under uncultured bacterium. Its description in RNAcentral is "partial 16S ribosomal RNA". It matches the Rfam family "Bacterial small subunit ribosomal RNA", at positions 338 to 795 of the family's 1533-position model. The record is from RNAcentral.